Molecule: ribosomal RNA, 35 nt
Filed under: Metamycoplasma orale
Lineage: Bacteria; Bacillati; Mycoplasmatota; Mycoplasmoidales; Metamycoplasmataceae
Also listed under: 1 other name
Description: Mycoplasma orale partial 23S ribosomal RNA
Source: RNAcentral
AUUAAAUAAGCAAGAGUUUUUGGUGGAUGCCUUGG